This is an RNA transcript of Oryza brachyantha (malo sina), 1704 nucleotides long. RefSeq lists it as uncharacterized. The record is from RefSeq and is a predicted model, not a curated record. Lineage: Eukaryota; Viridiplantae; Streptophyta; Magnoliopsida; Poales; Poaceae. The transcript is spliced from 10 exons.
AUGCCCGCCUCUUCUGGACUCUACCCUUCCGCCACGUGUUCCUUCUCCGCCGCCUGCGCCUCCGCCUCCGCGCCGCCGCAGCCGCGGCCGGCGGCUCGCCCCCGCGAUGGGCCAGUCCCCGAGCGCGCCGUCGGGGCGGAGCCGCAACCGCGGCGGCGUCUCUAAGUGGUCGCCGCCGGGGCUCCGUCUCGACCUAGGGUUGCUGCUUGGCCGGAAGCCGAGGUCUGGGGGCGAGAAGCUGGACCUGGCGAACUGGCUGAGGUGCUUCCUGGCGCCCCAGCUGCCGCAGCCGACGGCGGCGGCGGAAGCGAGCGCCGAGGGGAGGGACGCGGGAAACCGCGUGGAAGAGGAGGCCGGAAGCGAGGAGGCCGAUCACCUCGUCGUCAUGGUCAACGGGCUAUACGGGAGUUCGGCGGAUUGGAAAUUUGCGGCCGAGCAGUUCGUGAAGAGGCUGCCCGGGAAAGUCUUCGUUCAUCGCAGUCAGUGCAACCAUUCAAAGUUAACAUAUGAUGGAGUCGACUUGAUGGGAGAAAGGUUAGCUGAAGAGGUUCGACAAGUUGUUCAGAGGAGAAGUAACCUAAAGAAUAUCUCUUUCGUUGCCCAUUCCCUUGGUGGUUUAGUUACACGAUAUGCAAUUGGAAAACUUUAUGAUGCAUCGAUAAAUGCAGAGGCUUAUCUUGAUAAAGAUAACUUCUCAGAUGAACAGAGAACAUCUAAUGGUGGUAAAAUAGCUGGUUUAGAGCCAAUAAAUUUGAUUACGGUUGCUACGCCGCACUUGGGAUCAAGGUGGAAUAAACAACUUCCUUUCCUUUUUGGUGUUCCAUUUUUGGAGCGAACUGCUGCAGGAACUGCACAUUUUAUAGUUGGGAGAACAGGUAAACAUUUAUUCCUUACAGACACAGAUGAUGGGAAGGCCCCACUUCUUGUACGAAUGGUUGAAGACUGUGAUGAUGGAAAAUUCAUGUCUGCGUUGCGCUCUUUUAGGCGCCGUGUUGCCUAUGCGAACGUAACAUAUGAUCAUAUAGUUGGCUGGAGAACAUCAUCAAUUCGUCGUCAGCAUGAAUUACCUAAGCUUCAGUUAGCACCAAGUGAUAAAAUGUAUCCACAUGUUAUCCAUGUUGACAAAGGAAAUUCGGAGCAUCAUCUGCCAGAGGAAUCUGUAGAAGCUUCACUUACAUAUAGCAUCGAAGAACUGAUGAUCCGUGGCCUUACACAAGUUCCCUGGGAACGUGUUGAUGUAUGCUUUCAUAAGAGCUGGCUAAGAUACAACGCCCACCAUAAUAUCCAGGUUAGGAUCCAUCCUGUUAAUUCAGAUGGCGAAGACGUAAUCUACCAUAUGAUAGACAAUUUUCUAGUCUAGCUAAAUUUCGGCGAUUUCUUGAGGAAUAACAACCUUUUUGCCGGUGGGUUAACUCCAUUCUAGUUAGGUUACGAUGCCCAUGGACCAACAUCUGGUUCAGGGAAUCACGCAUGAUGUAACUAUCAUUUAUCAAAUCAGGGAAGCCUCUGAUGUAUUGUUUUGUAGUGUAAAGAUUAUUGUUCGGCUGUCAAUAGUGUAAAUGUCAGCUUAAUAUAUUUUGUACAUAUGAAUUUGUUAAACUUGGCAGCCUCUGGUUGUAUAUGCUGCAAUUUGGUGGUUGAAACAAUGUAAAAGUGUGUAAUUGUUUUCUGAAUAAAGACACCUUUGAUGCAAUUCUUGGUUCU